This 505-nucleotide ribosomal RNA is filed under the name uncultured bacterium. RNAcentral describes it as "partial 16S ribosomal RNA". It matches the Rfam family "Bacterial small subunit ribosomal RNA", at positions 28 to 507 of the family's 1533-position model. The record is from RNAcentral.
GACGAACGCUGGCGGCGUGCCCAAUACAUGCAAGUCGAACGCACAGUUUAUACCGUAGCUUGCUACACCAUAAACUGUGAGUUGCGAACGGGUGAGUAACGCGUAGGUAACCUGCCUGGUAGCGGGGGAUAACUAUUGGAAACGAUAGCUAAUACCGCAUAAUCUUGAUUAUUGCAUGAUAAUUGAUUGAAAGAUGCUAUUGCAUCACUACCAGAUGGACCUGCGUUGUAUUAGCUAGUAGGUGAGGUAACGGCUCACCUAUGCGACGAUACAUAGCCGACCUGGGAGGGUGAUCGGCCACACUGGGACUGAGACACGGCCCAGGAUCCUACGGGAGGCAGCAGGAGGGAAUCUUCGGCAAUGGACGAAAGUCUGAACGAGCAAAGCCGCGUGAGUGAAGAAGGGUUUCGGAUCGUAAAGCUCGGUUGUAAGAGAAGAACGGGUGUGAGAGUGGAAAGUUCACACUGUGACGGUAUCUUACCAGAAAGGGACGGCUAACUACGUG